Molecule: unclassified non-coding RNA, 328 nt
Filed under: soil metagenome
Description: partial contains 5.8S ribosomal RNA, internal transcribed spacer 2, and large subunit ribosomal RNA
Rfam family: 5.8S ribosomal RNA (bases 1-120)
Source: RNAcentral
GAUGAAGAACGUAGUGAAAUGCGAUAAGUAAUGUGAAUUGCAGAAUUCAGUGAAUCAUCGAAUCUUUGAACGCACAUUGCGCCCCCUGGUAUUCCGGGGGGCAGGCCUGUCCGAGCGUCAUUACAACCCUCAAGCUCAGCUUGGUGUUGGGCCCCGCCGCCCCGGCGGGCCCUAAAGUCAGUGGCGGUGCCGUCCGGCUCCGAGCGUAGUAAUUCUUCUCGCUCUGGAGGUCCGGUCGUGUGCUCGCCAGCAACCCCCAAUUUUUUUCAGGUUGACCUCGGAUCAGGUAGGGAUACCCGCUGAACUUAAGCAUAUCAAUAAGGGAGGA